Molecule: non-coding RNA, 201 nt
Organism: Pelobates cultripes (western spadefoot toad)
Lineage: Eukaryota; Metazoa; Chordata; Amphibia; Anura; Pelobatidae
Source: the annotation of a GenBank genome assembly
CCGCAAAGUCCCUGAUCCUGACAUUCUGGAAACGGGUUGGUGUACCAACCCUCCUGCAAUGUGCUGCUAGAAUUGAGAUCUACCCCAUGGGAUAUUUGACGGCAGCCCUAUGGAGACUUUUAGAACAAUGUGUCCAGACUUGGACACUCUGGCUAUCAUACACUACUAGACCUCUUGCAGGUAUGUGAAGGAACCUGAGCU